This 200-nucleotide unclassified non-coding RNA is filed under the name soil metagenome. Its description in RNAcentral is "partial contains internal transcribed spacer 2 and large subunit ribosomal RNA". The record is from RNAcentral.
UUCGAGCGUCAUUUCAACCCUCAAGCUCAGCUUGGUAUUGGAUGUCACCUGGCAAUGGUGCAUCCUAAAAUCAGUGGCGGUGCAUCUGGCUUCAAGUGUAGUAAAACUCUCGCUUUGGAGGUUUGGAUGUGUGCUUGCCAUCAACCCUUAAUUUAUCAAAGGUUGACCUCGGAUCAGGUAGGGAUACCCGCUGAACUUAA